This 692-nucleotide ribosomal RNA is filed under the name Actinoplanes sp. ISO06811. RNAcentral's name for it is "bacterial SSU rRNA". It matches the Rfam family "Bacterial small subunit ribosomal RNA", at positions 22 to 731 of the family's 1533-position model. Lineage: Bacteria; Bacillati; Actinomycetota; Actinomycetes; Micromonosporales; Micromonosporaceae. The record is from RNAcentral.
GCUCAGGACGAACGCUGGCGGCGUGCUUAACACAUGCAAGUCGAGCGGAAAGGCCCUUCGGGGUACUCGAGCGGCGAACGGGUGAGUAACACGUGAGUAACCUGCCCCAGACUUUGGGAUAACCCUCGGAAACGGGGGCUAAUACCGGAUAUGACACAGCUUCGCAUGGGGUCUGUGUGGAAAGUUUUUCGGUUUGGGAUGGGCUCGCGGCCUAUCAGCUUGUUGGUGGGGUGAUGGCCUACCAAGGCGACGACGGGUAGCCGGCCUGAGAGGGCGACCGGCCACACUGGGACUGAGACACGGCCCAGACUCCUACGGGAGGCAGCAGUGGGGAAUAUUGCACAAUGGGCGGAAGCCUGAUGCAGCGACGCCGCGUGAGGGAUGACGGCCUUCGGGUUGUAAACCUCUUUCAGCAGGGACGAAGCGUGAGUGACGGUACCUGCAGAAGAAGCGCCGGCCAACUACGUGCCAGCAGCCGCGGUAAGACGUAGGGCGCGAGCGUUGUCCGGAUUUAUUGGGCGUAAAGAGCUCGUAGGCGGCUUGUCGCGUCGACUGUGAAAACUCAGGGCUCAACUCUGAGCUUGCAGUCGAUACGGGCAGGCUAGAGUUCGGUAGGGGAGACUGGAAUUCCUGGUGUAGCGGUGAAAUGCGCAGAUAUCAGGAGGAACACCGGUGGCGAAGGCGGGUCUCUG